RNAcentral lists this transfer RNA (74 nucleotides) under Alcaligenes endophyticus. RNAcentral describes it as "tRNA-Gly". It matches the Rfam family "tRNA". From Rfam's summary of the family: Transfer RNA (tRNA) molecules are approximately 80 nucleotides in length. The record is from RNAcentral. Lineage: Bacteria; Pseudomonadati; Pseudomonadota; Betaproteobacteria; Burkholderiales; Alcaligenaceae.
GCGGGUGUAGUUUAAUGGCAAAACUUGUGCUUCCCAAGCAUACGUCGUGGGUUCGAUUCCCAUCACCCGCUCCA